Molecule: ribosomal RNA, 497 nt
Filed under: uncultured bacterium
Lineage: Bacteria
Description: partial 16S ribosomal RNA
Rfam family: Bacterial small subunit ribosomal RNA
Source: RNAcentral
GAUGAACGCUGGCGGCGUGCCUAAUACAUGCAAGUCGAGCGAACGGACGGGAAGCUUGCUUCUCUGAUGUUAGCGGCGGACGGGUGAGUAACACGUGGAUAACCUACCUAUAAGACUGGGAUAACUUCGGGAAACCGGAGCUAAUACCGGAUAAUAUUUUGAACCGCAUGGUUCAAAAGUGAAAGACGGUUUUGCUGUCACUUAUCGAUGGAUCCGCGCUGCAUUAGCUAGUUGGUAAGGUAACGGCCUACCAAGGCAACGAUGCAUAGCCGACCUGAGAGGGGGAUCAGCCACACUGGAACUGAGACAAGGUCCAGACUACUACGGGAGGCAGCAGUAGGGAAUGUUCCGCAAUGGGCGAAAGGCUGACGGAGCAACGCCACGUGAGUGAUGAAGGUCUUCGGAUCGUAAAACUAUGUUAUUAGGGAAGAACAUAUGUGUAAGGAACUGUGCACAUCUUGACGGUACCUAAUCAGAAAGCCACGGCUAACUACGUG